CACUGUGUUCAACCAUCCAGUCAAUAAGAAGUGCUGCUGUGAAGAGAACCAUCCUCACACUGAAUGCUGAACAUCAGCUACUUCCUGCUGCUGAUUUAAACCUUGUUGUAGAGAUGGAACAUUGGCUGUGGAUUAUUCUUGCUGCUCUCUCCUUUGAGUGUAAAGGACAAGACACAGUGACCCAGCCAGCAGGAGAUGUCAGCGCUACUGAAGGAGACACAGUUACACUUGACUGCACAUUUGAGACAUCUAAUACAGCCUUUCUGUUCUGGUACAAACAAGAAGUCAAUGGUUACCCAAAGUACAUGCUGAUGCGUUUCUCGGGAACUGGAGAUAAUGCUGAAGAGUUCCAGAAAGACAGAUUUGAUGCUACACUCAACAAGACAUCAGUUCCUCUGCAGAUCUCCCCUGCUGCAGUGACAGACUCUGCUGUGUACUACUGUGCUCUGAGGCCCACAGUGACAGGAAACAACUGCCUUUGGAUCUGUUACCCAGGAGGAAGCUGGAGGGGAGCACGCGGGCCAAAGCCAUUCUGCAGCAAUUGA
Molecule: non-coding RNA, 545 nt
Organism: Trematomus bernacchii (emerald rockcod)
Lineage: Eukaryota; Metazoa; Chordata; Actinopteri; Perciformes; Nototheniidae
Source: the annotation of a RefSeq genome assembly